AGAGUUUGAUCCUGGCUCAGAUUGAACGUUGGCGGCAGGCCUAAUACAUGCAAGUCGAACGGUAACAGCGGGAGCUUGCUCCCGGCUGACGAGUGGCGGACGGGUGAGUAACGCGUAGGAAUCUGCCUGGUAGUGGGGGACAACCCGGGGAAACUCGGGCUAAUACCGCAUACGCCCUAAGGGGGAAAGCGGGGGAUCUUCGGACCUCGCGCUAUCAGAGGAGCCUGCGUCGGAUUAGCUUGUUGGUGAGGUAAUGGCUCACCAAGGCGACGAUCCGUAGCUGGUCUUAGAGGAUGACCAGCCACACUGGGACUGAGACACGGCCCAGACUCCUACGGGAGGCAGCAGUAGGGAAUCUUGGGCAAUGGGCGAAAGCCUGACCCAGCCAUGCCGCGUGUGUGAAGAAGGCUUUCGGGUUGUAAAGCACUUUCAGCAGGAAAGAAAAGUUUGAGGCCAAUACCCUUGAACCGUGACGUACCUGCAG
RNAcentral lists this ribosomal RNA (484 nucleotides) under uncultured bacterium. RNAcentral describes it as "bacterial SSU rRNA". It matches the Rfam family "Bacterial small subunit ribosomal RNA", at positions 8 to 484 of the family's 1533-position model. The record is from RNAcentral.